RNAcentral lists this ribosomal RNA (201 nucleotides) under Dicheirotrichus obsoletus. Its description in RNAcentral is "partial 28S ribosomal RNA". It matches the Rfam family "Eukaryotic large subunit ribosomal RNA", at positions 663 to 817 of the family's 3401-position model. Lineage: Eukaryota; Metazoa; Arthropoda; Insecta; Coleoptera; Carabidae. The record is from RNAcentral.
GGACCAAGGAGUCUAGCAUGUGCGCGAGUCAUUGGGAUAUUUAUCAAAUCCUAAAGGCAUAAUGAAAGUAAAUAUUUAUGAAUUUUUAAUUCAUUUUAAAUAAAGGGAAGAUGGGUAAUGAAUUUCAGUUACCUCGCAUUCCCGGGGCGUCGCGUACUCAUUGCGAGUUGCGGCGCACCAAGAGCGUACACGCUGGGACCC